AUUGAACGCUGGCGGCAGGCUUAACACAUGCAAGUCGAGCGGGGAAAGGUAGCUUGCUACCUGACCUAGCGGCGGACGGGUGAGUAAUGCUUAGGAAUCUGCCUAUUAGUGGGGGACAACAUCUCGAAAGGGAUGCUAAUACCGCAUACGUCCUACGGGAGAAAGCAGGGGACCUUCGGGCCUUGCGCUAAUAGAUGAGCCUAAGUCGGAUUAGCUAGUUGGUGGGGUAAAGGCCUACCAAGGCGACGAUCUGUAGCGGGUCUGAGAGGAUUAUCCGCCACACUGGGACUGAGACACGGCCCAGACUCCUACGGGAGGCAGCAGUGGGGAAUAUUGGACAAUGGGGGGAACCCUGAUCCGGCCAUGCCGCGUGUGUGAAGAAGGCCUUUGGGUUGUAAAGCACUUUAAGCGAGGAGGAGGCUACCGAGAUUAAUACUCUUGGAUAGUGGACGUUACUCGCAGAAUAAGCACCGGCUAACUCUGUG
Molecule: ribosomal RNA, 485 nt
Filed under: uncultured bacterium
Lineage: Bacteria
Description: partial 16S ribosomal RNA
Rfam family: Bacterial small subunit ribosomal RNA
Source: RNAcentral